This 374-nucleotide ribosomal RNA is filed under the name uncultured Bacteroidales bacterium. Its description in RNAcentral is "bacterial SSU rRNA". It matches the Rfam family "Bacterial small subunit ribosomal RNA", at positions 22 to 395 of the family's 1533-position model. Lineage: Bacteria; Pseudomonadati; Bacteroidota; Bacteroidia; Bacteroidales. The record is from RNAcentral.
GCUCAGGAUGAACGCUAGCUACAGGCUUAACACAUGCAAGUCGAGGGGUAGCAGGGUAGCAAUACCGCUGACGACCGGCGCACGGGUGAGUAACACGUAUCCAACCUUCCCAUAACUCGGGGAUAGCCUUUCGAAAGAAAGAUUAAUACCCGAUAGUACUUUUUCAAGGCAUCUUGAGAAAGUUAAAGAUUUAUUGGUUAUAGAUGGGGAUGCGUUCCAUUAGAUAGUUGGUGAGGUAACGGCUCACCAAGUCUUCGAUGGAUAGGGGUUCUGAGAGGAAGGUCCCCCACAUUGGUACUGAGACACGGACCAAACUCCUACGGGAGGCAGCAGUGAGGAAUAUUGGUCAAUGGGCGAGAGCCUGAACCAGCCAA